Molecule: small nuclear RNA, 111 nt
Filed under: Galleria mellonella (greater wax moth)
Lineage: Eukaryota; Metazoa; Arthropoda; Insecta; Lepidoptera; Pyralidae
Description: U2 spliceosomal RNA
Rfam family: U2 spliceosomal RNA
About the family: U2 is a small nuclear RNA (snRNA) component of the spliceosome (involved in pre-mRNA splicing).
Source: Rfam by way of RNAcentral
UUCGCUUCUUGGCCUUUUGGCUAAGAUCAAAGUAUAGUAUUUGUUCUUUUCAAUUUAAUAUUUUUUAAUGUGAUAAUAUUUAUUUAUUUAAUACUUUAUUGUACACACUAG